Molecule: unclassified non-coding RNA, 205 nt
Filed under: plant metagenome
Description: partial contains small subunit ribosomal RNA, internal transcribed spacer 1, and 5.8S ribosomal RNA
Source: RNAcentral
GUAGGUGAACCUGCGGAAGGAUCAUUAAUGAAUUUAGGGAAUUGAUGCUGGUACUCUGUACAUGUGCUCGUUCCCUCUAAUCCAUACACACCUGUGCACUUAUUUAUCGGGGUCGACUAGUAAAAUAGAAGACUCUGGUUAAAUCACAUACUCUUAUAAUUUACUUUGAAUGUUUAUCAAGUCGAAAGACUUUUAAAUUAAUACA